AUUGUUCUUUGGUUUAUGAGUUUACUUUAAUCUCUUCCGGUAGAGUUUAGAGUAAUCAUUGCUAGCGUAAGUGUGGUGUUUGGGCUAGGGUACUCAUAGAUAUCCCCUGUCUAGCUGGACCAUGGUAGUAGCGAGGAACGUGACAUUUCCGUAGCUACCUUUGUAGCCCUCAAUCUCGUUAGCAGGAUCAGUAGGGUUUAUAGGUGC
Molecule: long non-coding RNA, 207 nt
Filed under: Sorghum bicolor (sorghum)
Lineage: Eukaryota; Viridiplantae; Streptophyta; Magnoliopsida; Poales; Poaceae
Description: long non-coding RNA (SBIC_LNC009014)
Source: RNAcentral